Molecule: long non-coding RNA, 664 nt
Organism: Diceros bicornis minor
Lineage: Eukaryota; Metazoa; Chordata; Mammalia; Perissodactyla; Rhinocerotidae
Exons: 3
Source: RefSeq, a predicted model, not a curated record
GGCACGCCGGGUGUGUCCCGGCGCUGGGAGACUCGGGGGUCCUGAGCACGGAGAGUGUUAUGGGCGCUCGGUGAACGAGCAAAUCCUGCAAGCAGUGGAGGACCUGCCCUUCUUCUCAGGAAGAGCUGCCUGUGGUUGUAAUGUUAUGCAAAUGGAUGGCACUUUCCCCUGCGGUUUCUGGAGGCUGCUCAGACUGGCCCUGGACUAACAUCUGUGCCCAUCUUCCUCCACGUUACAUGGGACGCCACCACAGCAUGGUUUGCCAAGCAGUGCGUUGGAGCGCACCCAGGAUCCGAACCGGCGAACCCUGGGCCGCCGCAGCGGAGCGUGUGCACCCAACUGCUUGCGCCACCGGGCCGGCCCCUCUAAUAAACAUUUUAAAAUGCAGAAUGUCCUUCUGUUCAUUUAUGCAUUCAUUUAAUAUCUGUCCAGUAAACAAUCAUGAAACACCUACAUGUGCUGACUGCUGUGGCUGAAUAAGAAAAACAGAUUUCCAACGAUGUAAUCUAAACCCCUCUAUCGCAAAACACUUGGAAAUGCUGACUAAAAUAUAAUAAGCAUUCCUUUAACUGCAUACCUGAGCUUGAAAGAAAGGGAUAUCCACAGAGACACAAAAUGAAGUGGAAAAAGCAACAGGAAACAGCAAGUAUGAUACUGGGGACAG